Long non-coding RNA from Lolium perenne, 2814 nucleotides. RefSeq lists it as uncharacterized. NCBI's taxonomy places the organism in Eukaryota, Viridiplantae, Streptophyta, Magnoliopsida, Poales, Poaceae. The record is from RefSeq and is a predicted model, not a curated record.
AAAACUCAUCUACACAACCGAGCCGCCCCCCACCGCGCCGCCCCUCACUGCCCACCACCACCACCGUGCCGCCCUCCCACCGUCGGCCCGCCCUUCCUCACCACCAGUGCCCACCAGCACCGCCCCUGCCCCCCACAGCCAACCAACAUUGCGCCUCCCUGCCACUGUUGCGCUGCCCGCCCAUUGCCCAGCACCGGUACCGCGCUGCCCUUCCACUACUGAGACGCCCACCACCGGCGCUCCUCCCCGUCGCAGCGGGAAAUCCAGUCGAUUGAUCUGUUCGCCUCCAUCGCCAAGGCGCGGCCACCCUCCUAGCAGGUUCGUCUCGCUGCCCCCGUCCACUGCAGGCAUUUGUUCAGCCCCUGCAUCUUGUGAGUACAGGCGGUUGUGGCCCCUGCAUCCCGUGUGAGUACAAGGCACAACGUGCUAAUUCGCCAGACACUGAUUCAUCCCUCUGUUUGAUUUGAAAUUUCGUUGGUAAUUGCAAGGCUGAUCACAAACACCAGUACUUUCCCCUCGGUUACUGGUAACCACGUGUAAAGCCAUCAGCGACGAUCUUGAUCCAUGACGAGGAGUCCCCCCUUCAACCCUAUAAAUUUUGUUCGGUUCUGCGACCAAAAUUGCAGAGGGCACACCCACAGCUGUUCUGAUUGAUUUCCCCUUUCCGUGACUACAAAUUCUUACUACGUUAUUAUCCUUUCCCCUUCCCUCAUUUAUCUGCUAUUAGUUCAUGUCUAUUUGCAGUUCAAAUUCUAGCUUGAUAUUUGAUUAGUGAAAAGAUAUGCUUUUAUCCAUUAUUGAAUUUUUUGGACAUUAUCAAUGAUAGAGGGUCCUUGAAAUGUGGUGAUCACAGCAAAUGUCUUGCUGUACCUGGGAGAAUGGGUGGUGUCAGGGAGACCCCAUCCCUUACGCUAGUUAGAAUUGCAGCAUUUUGGGAGCAUCGAGUGUUAGGCUUAUUUAGUUAUACCUGAUAGCUAAUUUCAUGUUGAAAUAUAAGUCUAUGACACCGUGGUUCUUCCUGCCUGGUUGAUGUUUACUCAUAUUUACUGCUCCUUACUUGCUGCUUCUCCACGUGCCUUAGUCUAAGGAUAAGUUGUGUUCCUAUUGGUACGUACACACCGAGUCCUUGCAUUAUGUUCAUUUGCUUGAUUGAACACAGACUGCAAUGUGCUCACGUUUACCAUUCAUUGGUACUCCAGUUCUCAACUCUAGUUUAAUUUUAUUCUUUUCUUGAUUGAACACACACAGGAAUUUGCUCAUUUGAAUUCAGGUUUGUUCCAUGAACAGAAGCCUGGCAUUUAUUUUUACUAAACGCAACCUGGGAUAUGCUCAAACACAACAAUGGAGAAAUAUCCGGAAAUAAAUGAUUACAAAGAAGAACUACAGAAAUAGCUAUACGAGAACAAGCUGGGUAUGCUCCAAGUUCAAGCUUGGCUAGGCGGCUGCAGCAGAUGAUGCCCAUUUAUUUCCCCGUGACUUGAAAUUUGCGUACAAGUUAACAAGAUGAUGUGGCUAGCAAAUUCAUUAAAAUUCUUUGGCUUUCUUUCUACUGAAACUAAGGUAUGUGAUGUUGUCUUUUGGUUCUGGAAAUUGUUCCACCGUAUUCUUUUAGCAAAUCCUCAGUUCAUGUAUUCAGACAUCAACAACCUCCUGCUGGGGUGAUUAUACUUUUUUCGUAAUAUUUAUGACAUCGUCCUAAAAUUACCACCCUUUUCUUCGGGAAUACAUUCAGUGUGGCUGUAAACAGAAAGGCACAAAAUUUCGUAUCCAUUUGCAGGUGUACAUGAAGGAAAAAAUCACUGAAGCUUCAUUGGCAUCGAAGCAUGUACUGCCGUUAGUACCAUGUUGCUUCAUACUGAAGUUUCAUUGGCAUCGAAGCAUCGCGAGUUUUCGCUGGAUUCCCACUAAUUAAUUAUGUCUAGGUGGUAUGUUUUCAUGCAUAAAGAACAUGGUAUUUGAUUAUUCCUGCUCAACUUUUGCAUGUCACUGAGAAACCUAUGGAUCAGUUUGUUGUUGCUAUCAUUCUUACUACUACAAGAGUUCUAUCUGUCAAGUUUAUACUUACUGGUUAUGCACUUGUGCUAUUUUAAAGGUAUUGUUGUCCAUCAAUUUACAUAUUCUCUAAUUGCUUCUAUCAAAUAAUUAUUGUUUCAUGUGUCCACAUCCAUGAGUGGAACCUGCAUUUUUAGACAGGUAUUGAUAUUGCUAAACUACUUUCUUUUGCUUGGUAGAAAAAAUACAUAUGAAUAAGCAGUAUGUUAUUCACCCACUUGCAGAUACAAUAACUGCCCCUUAUGAUAUUUAUCAGAGCAAAAUACUAGCUGUAUCAAAAAUCAGUUUCUGCAUUAGUGCAUAUGCAAAUAAAAGUAACGUUAGUACAAAGUACAUACUGUAAGUCGAUAUUCUUUCAUGGCAGAUCGUUCGAGAGAAAUUAAUGAGUUUUUCUGCAGAUUUUUUCAUAGACCGGUCAUGUGGUUCAUGCUAGCUUCACCAACCAAGUAGUGCUCAGUUCUAAUGUAUUAGAGCACGUUUUUCUUCUCAGGUCUUAUCAAGAACAUGACUAUUCUUUUCUCACGCCUUCUGAAUCAAGAUUCGAAAGAAGGAUGACUGAACGUAGCUGAAUUCUCCGGUUGGAUCAAGGAGAAAAUGAAGUCCGUAGAUUUUGCUUAGCAAGAAUUAAAGUUUACAUUGACAUAUUGAAAAAAAAUGUAAUAUCAUUAUAUAUCUUUUUCUUUGGCUGAAUUGGUGCAAAUGCUAUGGUGUAAUAUUCGGCACAAUUGUGUUACCUUUAGUCAAAUUUAUAUGAAUGUUACG